Molecule: long non-coding RNA, 145 nt
Organism: Ruditapes philippinarum (Manila clam)
Lineage: Eukaryota; Metazoa; Mollusca; Bivalvia; Venerida; Veneridae
Exons: 2
Source: RefSeq, a predicted model, not a curated record
UGCAGUUAACGAUUUGCCGAACGAAAAGACCGAAUACAAGAAGAUAAAUGCCAAUAUGUUAAACGAGAGUCCAUUUAAAGUCGAUAGGUUGGUGAAAAGGGACACAAACUUGGGAAGAAAAAAGCAACCGGAAUAGAUUUCAGUA